CUGAUUAUUACAAGCAAAAGUAUGACCCACAUUACUUUUUCACCUUUUUUUUCCUUUCUCCCUUGAUGAAAAAUUUUCUUUUCCCUUCAGACAAGGGGAAUGCCUUGUUAAUUGCUCUUUUCUAACGCUAGGACUGGAUAGCGUCAGUGCACUUCUGAUGUUGUGCCUGGAAGGGAAAGCUUAUCUGAAUCAGUGAUGGAAUUAUUUUACUGUCUGCUGUAAGUUAAGUGGGCUUUGUCACUAGGUUCAACACUUUUUUCAUUGGCAGUAGUUCAUAAGUCUUCGCAGAUUAGAGAAGCUUUUGUUUCUUCUUGGCACAACAGAGGCUGCAUUGGGCUGUCGGGUCUUUUUAUGUACCAUUAUCAGGUAUGGAGUUGAAUUGAUAUUUAAGCAACAA
RNAcentral lists this unclassified non-coding RNA (397 nucleotides) under Hevea brasiliensis (rubber tree). The record is from RNAcentral. Lineage: Eukaryota; Viridiplantae; Streptophyta; Magnoliopsida; Malpighiales; Euphorbiaceae.